GAUAGAGAAGGGCGUGGGCUGGGCCUACCCGGCAGGAGCCGCCUCACCCCAUCAGGCCCAGAUCCUCUAAGACAAGACAGGGAUAAAGUCUCCCGUGGAAUCCCCUCCCGCCUCAUAUUCCCUGACCCUGCCCUCCCUGCGAGAACUCCAGUCCGGGCUCCACAAAGGGCGCGAUGGAGUCUUGCUUAGUCGCCCAAGCUGGAGUAGUGUGGCUCGAUCUCAGCUCUGCAACCUCUGCCUCCCAGGGUUCAAGCAAUUCUCCUGCCUCAGUUUCCAGAGUAGCUGGAAUUAUAGUGCAGAUUCUGGGAAAGUGAACUCCACGGAAGACUCAGAAACCAAGUUCUAAUUCAGUUGCCAUGAAAACUUAAGGUGAGAGGAUUGUCAACCAGUGAAAAAUACGGAGGAAAACACUAACAGAAUAUGAUGAAGAAGCCAAGACUUGGGCUGCUUGCAUUACAUUAACCGAGGUUUACCCGCAGCGAGGCUGCCUCCAAAGCAUCCGGAGUUUGCAACCAUCACUGUCCACCCCGCGAGCUGCGAUAGUGCGAGAACUACAAUUCCCGUGGGG
This 568-nucleotide long non-coding RNA is filed under the name Homo sapiens (human). RNAcentral's name for it is "non-protein coding lnc-CENPT-1:3". Lineage: Eukaryota; Metazoa; Chordata; Mammalia; Primates; Hominidae. The record is from RNAcentral.